UGGCAGAUGCUUUGUCUCGGG
Molecule: non-coding RNA, 21 nt
Filed under: Arabidopsis thaliana (thale cress)
Lineage: Eukaryota; Viridiplantae; Streptophyta; Magnoliopsida; Brassicales; Brassicaceae
Source: RNAcentral